Molecule: small nuclear RNA, 107 nt
Organism: Loxodonta africana (African savanna elephant)
Lineage: Eukaryota; Metazoa; Chordata; Mammalia; Proboscidea; Elephantidae
Source: Ensembl
GUAUUCAAUUCAGCAGCACAUAUACUAAAAUUGAAAUGAUAUAGAGAAGACUGUCUUGGCCCCUGCACAAGGCUACCAUGAAAAUUCAUGAAGUGUUACAUAUUUUU